ACGCUCGACACCUACGGAGGCAGCAGUAGGGAAUCUUCCACAAUGGGCGCAAGCCUGAUGGAGCAACACCGCGUGAGUGAAGAAGGGUUUCGGCUCGUAAAGCUCUGUUGUUGGAGAAGAACGUGCGUGAGAGUAACUGUUCACGCAGUGACGGUAUCCAACCAGAAAGUCACGGCUAACUACGUGCCUGCAGCCGCGGUAAUCUGAGCGGGCUGGCAAGGC
Molecule: ribosomal RNA, 222 nt
Filed under: uncultured bacterium
Lineage: Bacteria
Description: partial 16S ribosomal RNA
Rfam family: Bacterial small subunit ribosomal RNA
Source: RNAcentral